CUCUGCACCCCCUGAAGAAAGGAGAGAGACACCCUUCCCCAGGGUCUACCUGGGUAAUUGAUGGAGCAACGAAAGAUCCAAAAAGCCUGAAAAAGUCUCACAUUCUCUCAUCUGAGGCUCCCAGCUCCCAAUCUUCAGAUGACAUGAAAUUUGAAGACAGAUGAAUGGAACUAGAAAUGCCCAGCCUGAGUGAACUAACCCAGACCCAUAAAGACAAAUAUGGAUCAGUACCUUCUCCAGGCACAUCAGUGAGGCUUCCUCUGGCAACAGAUGGGAACAGAUGCAGAGACCCUCCACCAGACAUUAUGGAGAGAGAGAUUCUAAAUGGGAUGUCUCCAUCAAAUCCCUCCUCAGAGCUUAGAGAACCCUCCAGAAGAGGAGGAGGAAAUAGUCUUAAGAGUCAGAGGGUUUGGAGGACACCAGAAGAACACGGACCUCUGAAUCAACUAAACAAGGCUCAUAUGAGCUCACAGACUGUCGCAGCAAGCACAGGACCUACAGAGUCUGCACCAGAGUCCCAUGUAUCCCUAAGGGUCUGGCCUCAAGCUUGCUAUAUGGCUAAGAAUGACUUCUGCUUGUCCCACCUCCAUCUCCUAAAUUCUGAGAUUACAGGCCUGGGAAAAGUUCACAGUGAUCUACUUAGGUUAUCUGAUGAACCCAAACAUGGAUUAUAAAGAAACCAAUCUGGG
Molecule: long non-coding RNA, 689 nt
Filed under: Cricetulus griseus (Chinese hamster)
Lineage: Eukaryota; Metazoa; Chordata; Mammalia; Rodentia; Cricetidae
Description: lncRNA (ENSCGRG00015037715.1)
Source: RNAcentral